Parasutterella excrementihominis CAG:233 is the source of this 173-nucleotide non-coding RNA. The record is from Rfam. NCBI's taxonomy places the organism in Bacteria, Pseudomonadati, Pseudomonadota, Betaproteobacteria, Burkholderiales, Sutterellaceae.
GGAUCAGGUAGAGGUGCAGACUUUAUAAGUAGUUGCUUCCUUUAAAGGAGAAUCGGGAGGCAGCAAAAGGAAAGUUUGCCGAAGGCCGAUCGAUCUCUCCUAAAUUGAUCGGACCUGGGCCGUCGAAAAACAUUCGGCGGACUGUCACUGAACAGUGGAGCGCUACCCGAGGU